AUUGAACGCUGGCGGCAUGCUUUACACAUGCAAGUCGAGCGGCAGCGCGGGGGCAACCCUGGCGGCGAGCGGCGAACGGGUGAGUAAUGCAUCGGAACGUAUCCUCGAGUGGGGGAUAACCCAGCGAAAGUUGGGCUAAUACCGCAUGAGCUCUGAGGAGGAAAGCGGGGGACCUGCGAGGGCCUCGCGCUGGAGGAGCGGCCGAUGUCCGAUUAGCUAGUUGGUGGGGUAAAGGCUUACCAAGGCGACGAUCGGUAGCUGGUCUGAGAGGAUGAUCAGCCACACUGGGACUUGGACACGGCCCAGACUCCUACGGGAGGCAGCAGUGGGGAAUUUUGGACAAUGGGGGCAACCCUGAUCCAGCCAUGCCGCGUGAGUGAAGAAGGCCUUCGGGUUGUAAAGCUCUUUCGGACGGAACGAAAUGGGCGGGACUAAUACUCCUGUCUGAUGACGGUACCGUAAGAAGAAGCACCGGCUAACUACGUG
Molecule: ribosomal RNA, 486 nt
Filed under: uncultured bacterium
Lineage: Bacteria
Description: partial 16S ribosomal RNA
Rfam family: Bacterial small subunit ribosomal RNA
Source: RNAcentral